CACGUAGGGUGAGAGCGUUGUCCGGAAGGAGGGGGCGUAAAGAGCGCGUAGGCGGUCUGUUGCGUCCGCUGUGAAAACUCGGGGCUUAACCCCGAGCCUGCAGUGGAUACGGGCAGACUAGAGGUAGGUAGGGGAGAAUGGAAUUCCCGGUGUAGCGGUGAAAUGCGCAGAUAUCGGGAGGACCACCGCUGGCGAAGGCGGUUCUCUGGGCCUUGCCUGACGCUGAGGAGCGACAGCGUGGGGAGCGAACAGG
Molecule: ribosomal RNA, 253 nt
Filed under: uncultured bacterium
Lineage: Bacteria
Description: partial 16S ribosomal RNA
Rfam family: Bacterial small subunit ribosomal RNA
Source: RNAcentral